Molecule: ribosomal RNA, 558 nt
Filed under: Triticum aestivum (bread wheat)
Lineage: Eukaryota; Viridiplantae; Streptophyta; Magnoliopsida; Poales; Poaceae
Description: partial small subunit ribosomal RNA
Source: RNAcentral
AUGAGUUGUUUUCAGUCGCUAAGAAAACGUGCCAGAAACCUGACUUUGACCUCCUCGAAAUUCUGGUGGGGUGCAACGAAUGGUGAAAGGAAAGUGCAUUCGGUCUCAUGGCAAAAAAUGUGUGCAACAAAGAGGGUACGAGGACUCGGGUUCCGUGACGACCCAGAGGCGUUCAAUCAAGCUUUGCUUGCGAAACAAGCUUGGAGAAUUUUGCAAGACCCAGCCUCCUUGUGUGCGCGGGUUCUCAAAGCAUGCUAUUUCAAGGACAAAAUGGUUAUGUCGGCAACCUUCCCGGCUAAUGCAUCCUACACUUACCGAAGUGUGCUACAUGGUAGAGAUCUUCUUCGUGAAGGAGUGAUUUGGCGCAUAGGGGAUGGUUCAAAGGUGCAUAUACACCAUGAUAACUGGAUACCGAGGGGUGGAAGUAUGACACCACUUGGUCAAAUCUUCAUACCAGGAGUGACGCGUGUGGCAGACGCGCUCACAGCCGACGGACGCGUGUGGGAUUCAUCUAAGGUAAACGCGAUGUUCAGUCCGAGUGACGUGCAUGAUAUUUAG